ACGUCUGAAUGCCUCGGGCCCU
This 22-nucleotide non-coding RNA is filed under the name Rattus norvegicus (Norway rat). The record is from RNAcentral. Lineage: Eukaryota; Metazoa; Chordata; Mammalia; Rodentia; Muridae.